RNAcentral lists this ribosomal RNA (514 nucleotides) under uncultured bacterium. RNAcentral describes it as "bacterial SSU rRNA". It matches the Rfam family "Bacterial small subunit ribosomal RNA", at positions 391 to 916 of the family's 1533-position model. The record is from RNAcentral.
GCAACGCCGCGUGAGGGACGAAGGCCUUCGGGUUGUAAACCUCUUUUAGCAGGGAAGAAGCGAAAGUGACGGUACCUGCAGAAAAAGCACCGGCUAACUACGUGCCAGCAGCCGCGGUAAUACGUAGGGUGCAAGCGUUAUCCGGAAUUAUUGGGCGUAAAGAGCUCGUAGGCGGUCUGUCGCGUCUGCUGUGAAAACUGGAGGCUCAACCUCCAGCCUGCAGUGGGUACGGGCAGACUAGAGUGCGGUAGGGGAGACCGGAAUUCCUGGUGUAGCGGUGGAAUGCGCAGAUAUCAGGAGGAACACCGAUGGCGAAGGCAGGUCUCUGGGCCGUAACUGACGCUGAGGAGCGAAAGCGUGGGGAGCGAACAGGAUUAGAUACCCUGGUAGUCCACGCCGUAAACGUUGGGCGCUAGGUGUGGGGACCUUCCACGGUCUCCGUGCCGCAGCUAACGCAUUAAGCGCCCCGCCUGGGGAGUACGGCCGCAAGGCUAAAACUCAAAGGAAUUGACGG